UACGUAUGGGGCGAGCGUUGUCCGGAAUUAUUGGGCGUAAAGGGUACGUAGGCGGUUAGAUAAGUCAGAUGUAAAAGCGUGGGGCUCAACCCCAUAAAGCAUUUGAAACUGUGUAACUUGAGUAGUGGAGAGGAAAGUGGAAUUCCUAGUGUAGCGGUGAAAUGCGUAGAUAUUAGGAGGAAUACCAGUGGCGAAGGCGACUUUCUGGACACAAACUGACGCUGAGGUACGAAAGCAUGGGGAGCAAACAGGAUUAGAUACCCUGGUAGUCCAUGCCGUAAACGAUGAAUGCUAGGUGUCGGGGGUCAAACCUCGGUGCCGCAGUUAACACAGUAAGCAUUCCGCCUGGGGAGUACGGUGGCAACACUGAA
RNAcentral lists this ribosomal RNA (371 nucleotides) under uncultured bacterium. RNAcentral's name for it is "bacterial SSU rRNA". It matches the Rfam family "Bacterial small subunit ribosomal RNA", at positions 524 to 898 of the family's 1533-position model. The record is from RNAcentral.